Non-coding RNA from Vicia faba (fava bean), 222 nucleotides. The record is from the annotation of a GenBank genome assembly. NCBI's taxonomy places the organism in Eukaryota, Viridiplantae, Streptophyta, Magnoliopsida, Fabales, Fabaceae.
AUGAUUUUAAUUAGAUCCUUUUUGAACACAAUCACUAUGUUUGCUAGUAAUAAUAAUAUUCCCCUCUUUGAUCACCAACCUCCACUUCAACCUCUUGAAAGAUCAGUUCCAUUCAAUCUUUUCUUCACUUUAAACUUAUACCUUUCAUUGUCCUUUCAUAUCUUCAUCUCCAUGACCAAUAAAAUUCAAAAAAAAAAAUUGAGACAAACAAGGAAAAAUUAA